Molecule: long non-coding RNA, 1360 nt
Filed under: Marmota monax (woodchuck)
Lineage: Eukaryota; Metazoa; Chordata; Mammalia; Rodentia; Sciuridae
Source: RNAcentral
CUUCUCUCCAGAGAAGUCUAUCUCUGUCUCUCUCUUAAACAAAACUUGCUUUCUAUGCCUGCCUCAGUGUUUCUCGGAUGUCUACUCUUCAACACCAGGGGAGCGAGGACCUGACCCUGAUUUCCAAGACUGUCACUAUCAGACAGAACCAGCAAGGCAGCUUGAGUCAGAGAGGUGGCAAUGGAGGUGAUAAGCUGCAUUGGAUUCUGGACACGUUUCAAAGGUGGAACCAACAGCCUUUGGUGAAAAGGUGAUAUUCAAGAGCAACAGUAAGUACCUGCAUCCCCUCACCCACCAGAGUUUGAGCUGAGCAGAGGAGGCCUGUGGGGCAGGGCCCUGGAAAUGAGGGACUCAGUUUGGGAUGUGAGCUCCCCAAAAAGAAACAAGAAGGCAGAAGGAUAAAUGCCUGGAGCUGAGCAGCCAGGCUCCCUGGGUUCUCAUUUCAUCCCUCCUGCAAAGCUCAGGGCACACAUUCACUGUUUGCUCGUGAGUUAAAGAAAACUUUGACAACGACCUAGCCUAGGAGCACGUUAUUUGGGAGCCUUAGAGAUUCCACCAUGGAUGGUGGCCCUGGCUCUGGCAGGUACAGACCCACUAGGAGGAUCAGGGCUCCUGGCCCAGGAGGAGCCAGUUGCUGGAUUUGUAAAAGGAAUCCCAGGGACUAGGGAGAUGGACCCUCUCACUCCCAAAAGAAGGAUCAAUGCACCCACUUACAAAUUUACCAGGCAUCAACCACCCACCCAGGAGCAAGGUACCCCACGCGGAGGACCUCUCUCUGUUUUUUCAUAGCAGGGGCUAUUUGUGGAAGUCUCUGUAUCCUGGUUUCUUCACCGAUCUGCGUGUUUUAUGUGAGGAAUCUUUUUUUUUUUUUCCCAAGAGACAACAGUGGGUGAAAAUUGUCACCCUUUGAAUCUGAGCCCUUAGCUGUCAGCCAGUCACAGAGACAUACAAGAAGAUUCAAUUCAGAAAGAUGGUCCACAACCCUUCGAGGGUCAAUAUGUCUCUCCAUUUUUAAAGGCUCAUCUGUUUUUAUUGAUUAGUAGAUCCAAUCAGUCACUUAUAUAAGAAUGCUAAAAAGUGGGGGAAGCUUCCUAACGUUUUACAUUUAAUUAUGCCUACUCUUGAAGAGCAAUUCCAGUGCUCUCCAUGGGAGGGAUUCCAUCUCAGACAGGAGCAAACACAAUUGGAACCACCACCAGCCAACCGUGAAUUUAGAGGUUGUUGCUAAGCUACAGGAAAAUAAGUCAGGUGAUGCGAUUUCACACAGUCAGGAGUUAAAAGAAAAAGGCUCCAAGAAGCCCAAAUAUUAAAAUCUUUAAACAAGACUUAAACAUUGUUAAUGGUACUCUAAAACCACAGG